RNAcentral lists this ribosomal RNA (118 nucleotides) under Helianthus annuus (common sunflower). Lineage: Eukaryota; Viridiplantae; Streptophyta; Magnoliopsida; Asterales; Asteraceae. The record is from RNAcentral.
GGUUGCGAUCAUACCAGCACUAAUGCACCGGAUCCAUCAGAACUCCGCAGUUAAGCGUGCUUUGGCGAGAGUAGUACUAGGAUGGGUGACCCCCUGGGAAGUCCUCGUGUUGCAACCC